Long non-coding RNA from Daphnia pulicaria, 2136 nucleotides. RefSeq lists it as uncharacterized. The record is from RefSeq and is a predicted model, not a curated record. Lineage: Eukaryota; Metazoa; Arthropoda; Branchiopoda; Diplostraca; Daphniidae. The transcript is spliced from 7 exons.
GCUGGGUCAGAAUGGGAUGUGUUAAAACCAUUUGGUAUUCCAUUUUCAUGUUGGUUGCUGUAGACCCAUCCCCAGCAACAAUAACCUGCAGAAGGAAAAGCCAGUUUGCAUAUCCUUCACUUUCGAAGGUCAUGGAGAUGUAAACCGUGUCAUGUAGUGGUGUAGAGGUUGGGUGAGAAAGGGACGGCGAGUGUUUCACCAUUGUCAAGCAGAUACAAUACCGGAAGGGUAAGAGGAAAGGGUGAGAAAAAAAAUCUUAUAAAAGGAGAGAAAAGGCCAGAGACAUCAGUAGACUGAGCAUCACCGUCACGGACUCACGGCAACAACUUGUACACUACCUGUACCUAGGACCUUCUUCAUCGCAUUACCAGUUCGCAGCAAUGGGGUAAACGACAACAACUGCUGUGCGCUAUUUGUCAUCAACUGCAUUCUUCUUCGUUUCACCAGUUUGCAAUCAUGGAUGAAUUAAUAAAAAAUGGUUUCCAAGUACUACACCACCAAGUCGUCGAAAUGCUAUACGACUACGUAUGCUGCCCCACCUGCUGAACCGCGACUCACUAAGUCCCUGGAGUACGUUGCCCGAGCUUAUAACACGGUGGCUCCCAAGUACUACAACACCAAGGCACCUGUGUACUACACCACUACGUGUCCUGCGUCAACCUGCUACACCGAGACUUCCAAGCAUUUUUCUGUUUGAGUUACUACACCGUGGCUUAAACUUUCUACACCAUCAAAGCUGCUGAGAACUACGCCGAAGCGCCUAAUUACUACUCUGCCCCAAGCUUCACAUCCACAACUGAGGUGGUGGAGUACUUAGUAGGUUCGAAUCACUACGCAGCUGCUACUUCGUACUAUGUUGAAGACUGCUCUGAGUCUUCAGUUUACUACACCACAACUUACGCUUCAUUUAACUACUGCACCGAAGCUCCCAAGUACUGCAUCGAAAAGCUUGAAUCGAAAAGUCGUACUGCAUCGAAAACGUAUGGUGCUCCAGUUAACUACACCGAGGAACCUAAGAGAGAAAGGCGAAAGAAAAUAGUCGAUGGAUUAUCUCCUACACGGUAAAAGUUAAUGCAGUGCACCAUUUGUCAUCAACUGCAUUCUUUGUCGUAUUACUACUUCACAUUAAUGAAAUCUAGUUCGCUUUUACAUAGAAUGUGAACUAUGGCGUCAUGCUGCUGUUGGUUGUUGCAUCGUUCAUGGCUGGGUCAACCUCGGGUGUAUUUAUGUUUCCUGUGUAUGGUGGAUAUCAAGUGACAGCAGCGAAAGAACAGUACAAUACGUCGCCGCCUUACUACACAACGUUAACAUACGCAACACCACGUACCAUUAAUAGGCUCUUAAAUACUACACUACCAAGGCUCUGAGUACAACACGAAAAUUAUGCUGUCUCGAGCUUCUACACCGAAGUAUUACUCUGCCCCGAGUCACAUCAUAAAAGCGCCUGAGUACUACACUAGUCUUCCAAGUUUUACACUAACAAAACUCCAAGCUACUACACCGAGGCUAUAGCGUAAUACACCACCGAAGCGGUUGAAUACUACACCGAAGCGUCCAAGUACUGCAUUACAACGUACUGCAGCCCCCUAUUUGUCACCAACUGCCUUAUUCAUCGUAUUAAAUCAGUUACUAAUCAUAGAUAUCGAUGAUGUUGAUGUGUGUUUUGUUGAUGGCUGGGUCGAUCACUGGUGUACUGAUGUCUCCUGGAAAUGGCUGAUACCAAACCACCACACCGCUGCCAUACUACACAACAACGAGGUCUCCAAGUACUACACCACUGUAGGACGGAAUAUUACAAGAUUAUGUAUGCAGUUCCUGCCUACUACACCAAGGCCCCUAAACUCCUACUAGUUGUCUACUAAAAUAUUGUGUCGGUUUUGUUUUACAUCCCUGUAGUGUAUAAUUCAUAUUAUUUGAUGUUAUUCUGUUUUGCAAUGUGGUGUGUUGCAGCUCAGGUUGGUGAAAGUUCUUUGAUGUGAAGUUAAAACUGCGGUUGUCUCAAGCGAUGUCAAAGAAUAUCUACUGAAUACUUGAAACUUAAACCUGCAAUAACAUGUUAAAUUUGAAACUCAAUUGCUAUUUCAUCUUGUCAUGCAUUAAAUACGUUGAAAUAUGCAAUUAACCAAUCAAAUACAA